Molecule: ribosomal RNA, 484 nt
Filed under: uncultured bacterium
Lineage: Bacteria
Description: partial 16S ribosomal RNA
Rfam family: Bacterial small subunit ribosomal RNA
Source: RNAcentral
AUUGAACGCUGGCGGCAUGCUUUACACAUGCAAGUCGAACGGCAGCGCGGGCUUCGUCCUGGCGGCGAGUGGCGAACGGGUGAGUAAUACAUCGGAACGUGCCCAGCAGUGGGGGAUAGCUCGGCGAAAGCCGGAUUAAUACCGCAUACGACCUGAGGGUGAAAGCGGGGGAUCUUCGGACCUCGCGCUCUUGGAGCGGCCGAUGGCCGAUUAGCUAGUUGGUGGGGUAAAGGCCUACCAAGGCGACGAUCUGUAGCUGGUCUGAGAGGACGACCAGCCACACUGGGACUGAGACACGGCCCAGACUCCUACGGGAGGCAGCAGUGGGGAAUUUUGGACAAUGGGCGAAAGCCUGAUCCAGCAAUGCCGCGUGUGUGAUGAAGGCCUUCGGGUUGUAAAGCACUUUUGGCGGGAACGAAAAGGACUGUGCCAAUACCACGGUCCGAUGACGGUACCCGCAGAAUAAGCACCGGCUAACUACGUG